GAGGGAUAUUGGGCAAUGGGGGAAACCCUGACCCAGCAACGCCGCGUGAGGGAUGACGGUUUUCGGAUUGUAAACCUCUGUCCUCUGUGAAGAUAGUGACGGUAGCAGAGGAGGAAGCUCCGGCUAACUACGUGCCAGCAGCCGCGGUAAUACGUAGGGAGCAAGCGUUGUCCGGAUUUACUGGGUGUAAAGGGUGCGUAGGCGGAUUGGCAAGUCAGAAGUGAAAUCCAUGGGCUUAACCCAUGAACUGCUUUUGAAACUGUUAGUCUUGAGUGAAGUAGAGGUAGGCGGAAUUCCCGGUGUAGCGGUGAAAUGCGUAGAGAUCGGGAGGAACACCAGUGGCGAAGGCGGCCUACUGGGCUUUAACUGACGCUGAGGCACGAAAGUGUGGGUAGCAAACAGGAUUAGAUACCCUGGUAGUCCACACUGUAAACGAUGAUUACUAGGUGUGGGGGGUCUAACCCCCUCCGUGCCGGAGUUAACACAAUAAGUAAUCCACCUGGGGAGUACGACCGCAAGGUUGAAACUCAAAGGAAUUGACGGGGGCCCGCACAAGCAGUGGAGUAUGUGGUUUAAUUCGACGCAACGCGAAGAACCUUACCAGGUCUUGACAUCCAACUAACGAAGCAGAGAUGCGUUAGGUGCCCUUCGGGGAAAGUUGAGACAGGUGGUGCAUGGUUGUCGUCAGCUCGUGUCGUGAGAUGUUGGGUUAAGUCCCGCAACGAGCGCAACCCUUGUGAUUAGUUGCUACGCAAGAGCACUCUAAUCAGACUGCCGUUGACAAAACGGAGGAAGGUGGGGACGACGUCAAAUCAUCAUGCCCUUUAUGACCUGGGCUACACACGUACUACAAUGGUCGUUAACAGAGGGAAGCAAUACCGCGAGGUGGAGCAAAACCCUAAAAACGGUCUCAGUUCAGAUUGUAGGCUGCAACUCGCCUACAUGAAGUUGGAAUUGCUAGUAAUCGCAGAUCAGAAUGCCGCGGUGAAUACGUUCCCG
This 999-nucleotide ribosomal RNA is filed under the name uncultured bacterium. RNAcentral describes it as "bacterial SSU rRNA". It matches the Rfam family "Bacterial small subunit ribosomal RNA", at positions 356 to 1376 of the family's 1533-position model. The record is from RNAcentral.